CUCUCUCUCUGUCCGUCCCUCUCUCUCUCUCUCUCUGUCCGUCUCUCUCUCUCUGUCCGUCCCUCUCUCUCUCUCUCUGUCCGUCCCUCUCUCUCUCUGUCCGUCUCUCUCUCUCUCUGUCCGUCCCUCUCUCUCUCUCUGUCCGUCCCUCCCUCUCUCUGUCUGUCCUCCCUCUCUCUCUCUCUGUCGUCCCUCCUCUCUCUCUGUCCGUCCCUCCCUCUCUCUCUCUGUCCGUCCCUCCCUCUCUCUCUGUCAGUCCUCCCUCUCUCUCUGUCGGUCCCUCCCUCUCUCUCUCUGUCCGUCCACUCCCUCUCUCUCUCUGUCCGUCCCUCCCUCUCUCUCUCUGUCC
Long non-coding RNA from Oncorhynchus tshawytscha (Chinook salmon), 349 nucleotides. The record is from Ensembl. NCBI's taxonomy places the organism in Eukaryota, Metazoa, Chordata, Actinopteri, Salmoniformes, Salmonidae.